Talpa occidentalis (Iberian mole) is the source of this 321-nucleotide long non-coding RNA. RefSeq lists it as uncharacterized. Lineage: Eukaryota; Metazoa; Chordata; Mammalia; Eulipotyphla; Talpidae. The record is from RefSeq and is a predicted model, not a curated record. The transcript is spliced from 3 exons.
UGAAGUAACUAGCUGAAGUGAGAAUACGAGAAUCAGAUGGGGGCUGAGGAGAUGGAAAGACCAGACUCUGCUUCCGUGGCUUCUGAACCCUGCAGAGCGCUGCCCCCUUGGGGGUGAGGGCUGCUCUGUAAAAGGACAGGGCCUCUAAGGAAACAAUGAAAACCAACCACACUGGGAAGUGGUGAUGAUCUGACCGAGGAGAGCAAUGUCCUGUCUUGAGAUGGGUGGAAUGUGGUAGACAGAGUGGCUAGUUAACCCAACAAAGGUAAAUGGUCUACUGUUUUCAGUGGGAAAUACAGUGGCUGGCACGAGGAAUACACA